UACGGAGGGUGCAAGCGUUAUCCGGAUUCACUGGGUUUAAAGGGUGCGUAGGCGGGCCGGUAAGUCAGUGGUGAAAUCUCCCGACUCAAUUGGGAAAUUGCCAUUGAUACUACCGGUCUUGAGUUCAGUUGAAGUAGGCGGAAUGUGUCAUGUAGCGGUGAAAUGCAUAGAUAUGACACAGAACACCGAUUGCGAAGGCAGCUUGCUAAACUGACACUGACGCUGAGGCACGAAAGCGUGGGGAUCAAACAGG
Molecule: ribosomal RNA, 253 nt
Filed under: uncultured bacterium
Lineage: Bacteria
Description: partial 16S ribosomal RNA
Rfam family: Bacterial small subunit ribosomal RNA
Source: RNAcentral